Ciona savignyi (Pacific transparent sea squirt) is the source of this 156-nucleotide non-coding RNA. The record is from Rfam. NCBI's taxonomy places the organism in Eukaryota, Metazoa, Chordata, Ascidiacea, Phlebobranchia, Cionidae.
UGAUGCUGUGUUCUUUAUUUCGUGUGCGUGAGUUAUCGUUAAUAAACCAAAAAGACAAAAAAAAAAAGAUUCUUUCGCCUUUUACUAAAGAAUUCCGUGGAGAGGAGCAGUUCAAUGAGUCUUGAACAUUUUUCGAUAUCCGACUUUGGUCGGUUU